RNAcentral lists this ribosomal RNA (486 nucleotides) under uncultured bacterium. RNAcentral's name for it is "partial 16S ribosomal RNA". It matches the Rfam family "Bacterial small subunit ribosomal RNA", at positions 28 to 507 of the family's 1533-position model. The record is from RNAcentral.
GACGAACGCUGGCGGCGUGCUUAACACAUGCAAGUCGAACGCUGAAGACCUGGCUUUUGUUGGGUUGGAUGAGUGGCGAACGGGUGAGUAACACGUGAGUAACCUGCCCUCUUCUUUGGGAUAACGCCCGGAAACGGGUGCUAAUACUGGAUAUUCACUGAUCUUCGCAUGGGGGUUGGUGGAAAGGUUUGUUCUGGUGGGGGAUGGGCUCGCGGCCUAUCAGCUUGUUGGUGGGGUGAUGGCCUACCAAGGCUUUGACGGGUAGCCGGCCUGAGAGGGUGACCGGUCACAUUGGGACUGAGAUACGGCCCAGACUCCGACGGGAGGCAGCAGUGGGGAAUAUUGCACAAUGGGCGAAAGCCUGAUGCAGCGACGCCGCGUGAGGGAUGGAGGCCUUCGGGUUGUAAACCUCUUUCGCUCAUGGUCAAGCCGCAACUGUGGGUUGCGGUGAGGGUAGUGGGUAAAGAAGCGCCGGCUAACUACGUG